CAGCAUAUUAUGUUGGCUGUCCACAUGUGUAAACGGCAUGUGUUAGCAANGGCCGGGCAAGACCGGUCCCAGCGGCGCGGUAACACCGGCGGCCCGAGUGGUAAUCACUUUUAUUGGGUCUAAAGGGUCCGUAGCCGGUUUGAUCAGUUCUUCGGGAAAUCUGACAGCUCAACUGUUAGGCUUCCGGGGAAUACUGUCAGACUUGGGACCGGGAGAGGUAAGAGGUACUACAGGGGUAGGAGUGAAAUCUUGUAAUCCCUGUGGGACCACCAGUGGCGAAGGCGUCUUACCAGAACGGGUNCGNCAGCGUGUAGAGGGACGAAAGCUGGGGGCACGAACCGGAUUAGAUACCCGGGUAGUCCCAGCCGUAAACGAUGUUCGCUAGGUGUCAGGGACGGUGCGACCGUUUCUGGUGCCGUAGGGAAGCCGUGAAGCGAACCACCUGGGAAGUACG
Molecule: ribosomal RNA, 454 nt
Filed under: Methanococcoides sp. enrichment culture clone 4.17b Arc Band 2
Lineage: Archaea; Methanobacteriati; Methanobacteriota; Methanomicrobia; Methanosarcinales; Methanosarcinaceae
Description: bacterial SSU rRNA
Rfam family: Archaeal small subunit ribosomal RNA
Source: RNAcentral